RNAcentral lists this ribosomal RNA (253 nucleotides) under uncultured bacterium. RNAcentral's name for it is "partial 16S ribosomal RNA". It matches the Rfam family "Bacterial small subunit ribosomal RNA", at positions 524 to 776 of the family's 1533-position model. The record is from RNAcentral.
UACGAAGGGGGCUAGCGUUGCUCGGAAUCACUGGGCGUAAAGGGUGCGUAGGCGGGUCUUUAAGUCAGGGGUUAAAUCCUGGAGCUCAACUCCAGAACUGCCUUUGAUACUGAAGAUCUUGAGUUCGGGAGAGGUGAGUGGAACUGCGAGUGUAGAGGUGAAAUUCGUAGAUAUUCGCAAGAACACCAGUGGCGAAGGCGGCUCACUGGCCCGAUACUGACGCUGAGGCACGAAAGCGUGGGGAGCAAACAGG